RNAcentral lists this ribosomal RNA (305 nucleotides) under uncultured bacterium. RNAcentral describes it as "partial 16S ribosomal RNA". It matches the Rfam family "Bacterial small subunit ribosomal RNA", at positions 508 to 809 of the family's 1533-position model. The record is from RNAcentral.
ACAGCAGUAGCCGCGGUAAUACAGAGGGUGCGAGCGUUAAUCGGAUUUACUGGGCGUAAAGCGUGCGUAGGCGGCUUCUUAAGUCGGAUGUGAAAUCCCUGAGCUUAACUUAGGAAUUGCAUUCGAUACUGGGAAGCUAGAGUAUGGGAGAGGAUGGUAGAAUUCCAGGUGUAGCGGUGAAAUGCGUAGAGAUCUGGAGGAAUACCGAUGGCGAAGGCAGCCAUCUGGCCUAAUACUGACGCUGAGGUACGAAAGCAUGGGGGGCAAACAGGAUUAGAUACCCGGGUAGUCCCUGUCUCUUAUAA